GCACCGGUAGCUCAGCUGGAUAGAGCAACGGCCUUCUAAGCCGUAGGUCACAGGUUCGAAUCCUGUCCGGUGCA
RNAcentral lists this transfer RNA (74 nucleotides) under Patescibacteria group bacterium. RNAcentral's name for it is "tRNA-Arg". It matches the Rfam family "tRNA". Rfam says of the family: Transfer RNA (tRNA) molecules are approximately 80 nucleotides in length. Their secondary structure includes four short double-helical elements and three loops (D, anti-codon, and T loops). The record is from RNAcentral.